This is a non-coding RNA of Xiphophorus maculatus (southern platyfish), 384 nucleotides long. The record is from the annotation of a RefSeq genome assembly. NCBI's taxonomy places the organism in Eukaryota, Metazoa, Chordata, Actinopteri, Cyprinodontiformes, Poeciliidae.
AUGACUUUGAUCUGCGUCCUCAUCUGGACUCUCCUCUGCUGCUGCUUCACAGAGGUCAGAGGUCAGUACACACUGACUCAGCCUUCAGCAGUGAGAGCUGAUAUUGGAGGAUCUGCCACCAUCAACUGUAGAACCAGUCAGAAUGUUUAUGUUUAUAGCGGCUCCCACUAUUUAGCCUGGUACCAACAGAAAGAUGGACAAACUCCUAAGCUCCUCAUUUAUCUUUCUAGCACUCGAGCAUCAGGGACUCCAAGUCGUUUUACAGGCAGUGGAUCAAACUCUGACUUCACUCUGACCAUCAGUGGAGUUCAGGCUGAAGAUGCUGCAGUUUAUUACUGUCAGAGUUUUCAUUACCCCAACAGCCAGUAUGUGUUCACACAGUGA